Molecule: ribosomal RNA, 771 nt
Filed under: uncultured Neocallimastigales
Lineage: Eukaryota; Fungi; Neocallimastigomycota; Neocallimastigomycetes; Neocallimastigales
Description: partial large subunit ribosomal RNA
Rfam family: Eukaryotic large subunit ribosomal RNA
Source: RNAcentral
GUAGUCUCGCACAGAUGCAUAUCAAUAAGCGGAGGAAAAGAAACUAACAAGGAUUCCCUCAGUAACGGCGAGUGAAGCGGGAAGAGCUCAAAUUUGAAAUCUUGAAAGGUCACCUUUCACGAAUUGUAGUUUAAAGAAGUGUUUUCUGUUACGAUCGUAAUAUAAGUUCUUUGGAAUAGGACAUCACAGAGGGUGAGAAUCCCGUCUAUGACUGCGAUUUGUAGCUUUGUGAUACACUUUCAAAGAGUCGGGUUGUUUGGGAAUGCAGCCCAAAACGGGAGGUAAAUUUCUUCUAAGGCUAAAUAUUGGCGAGAGACCGAUAGCGAACAAGUACCGUGAGGGAAAGAUGAAAAGAACUUUGAAAAGAGAGUUAAAUAGUACGUGAAAUUGUCAAAAGGGAAGCGUUUAACACCAGUGUUGUUUUCUGAAAAUCAACCUCUGUUAGCUUUAUGCAUGUUUGUUUAGACCUAAUCAGCUAUCUUGCAUGUUCUAUUGUUUGCAGUGGUGCACUUUUCAGUUUACAGGUCAACAUCAGUUUUUUUUACCGUAAAAAAGUUAAAGAAAGGUAGCUCAUGGCUCCGGUCGUGAGUGUUAUAGUCUUUUUCCUAUGCGGUAGGAGAGACUGAGGUCUGCAGUGUAGGCUAUUUGGCUAGAUACUCAGGUGCUAUGUGAUACCAUUUCAUAAACAACUUGUUGAUUAUGUUUUGUCUAUUGCAUACUCGCUUGUACUAUCAUACCUACGCUUAGGAUGUUGAGUCGUAGAGCACGCAG